Molecule: long non-coding RNA, 242 nt
Filed under: Sorghum bicolor (sorghum)
Lineage: Eukaryota; Viridiplantae; Streptophyta; Magnoliopsida; Poales; Poaceae
Description: long non-coding RNA (SBIC_LNC017067)
Source: RNAcentral
GUCACACCCGGUUUUAAGGAACAAAACCAGGCUAGCUAUAUGUGUGCCCAGAAAGUCCACACAUACAACAAUAGAAAGGAACAGUAUCAGAAACAAUGUUAUAUGGCGAAAACAUACUUAUAAUUAACACUUACAUCAGAGUAUCGCGGAACGGUAACUAAUCUUCAGGCUCAAUCUACACAGGGACGGCUGACUGGGGGUAACAUAUGCCUAGCACUUCUUGUAUCUUGAGAACACUUUCA